GUUUUGAUCAUGGCUCAGGAUGAACGCUAGCGGCAGGCCUAAUACAUGCAAGUCGAACGGAUAUAUGUUUUUCGGAAUAUAUAUUAGUGGCGCACGGGUGAGUAACACGUACAUAACUUGCCCUCAAGCGGGGGAUAGCCUUGGGAAACUGAGAGUAAUACCCCAUAGAAUUAUUGGACGGCAUCGUUUGAUAAUUAAAACUACGGUGCUUGGGGAUAGAUGUGCGUCUGAUUAGCUAGUUGGUGAGGUAACUGCUCACCAAGGCGACGAUCAGUAGGGGGCGUGAGAGCGUGGCCCCCCACACGGGUACUGAGACACGGACCCGACUCCUACGGGAGGCAGCAGUAAGGAAUAUUGGUCAAUGGAGGGAACUCUGAACCAGCCAUGCCGCGUGAAGGAUGACGGCCCUCUGGGUUGUAAACUUCUUUUGGAUGGGGCGAAAAAACGGGAUUUAUCCUGGACUGACGGUACCAUCAGAAUAAGCACCGGCUAACUCCGUG
This 500-nucleotide ribosomal RNA is filed under the name uncultured bacterium. RNAcentral describes it as "bacterial SSU rRNA". It matches the Rfam family "Bacterial small subunit ribosomal RNA", at positions 11 to 507 of the family's 1533-position model. The record is from RNAcentral.